UAGAAAGUUGGAUCCGUUGGACUCACAAACGACCGAAAUGUGAACCAAUAAAAUUUCUUUUUAAAACUUCUCAUGAAACUCAUAUGAAGAAAACACAAAAAGUCAUAGUGCGAAUUAUCUCUUUUUUAAUAAGCCGGAAGAUCCGGUUAACUACCCAAACUAAAAUUAAAGGAAAUAAGAGUAACAGAGUAUCAUGUGGUAGGCACGUGGAAAAUAAAUACAAGAAUUUCCCCCAAAAGACUUGCCAAGCUAAAGGCCAAAAUAUAAGACUCUCAGGGAGGGAGGCUCCACUGUAAUUUACUUAUGCAUUUCCAUAAAUCU
Molecule: long non-coding RNA, 321 nt
Filed under: Trifolium pratense (red clover)
Lineage: Eukaryota; Viridiplantae; Streptophyta; Magnoliopsida; Fabales; Fabaceae
Description: long non-coding RNA (TPRA_LNC007051)
Source: RNAcentral